UUUUUUGUUCCUGGCUCCAGUCUCGGAACCCACAGACUUUGGAUUCACCGUAGUCUCCACCUAUCCCCAUAUCAAGCGGAUGGGCUUCCCGAGUCUCAGCUACCCGCUCUUUCCUUUGUCUCUGGCCUGCUCUGCGGGCACUUUCCCACAAGGCCUGGGACCCUGGAGAACCUAAGUCAUCGCUCGAGGGAGAGUUUACUGGGUUCAGGGUGAGGCUGGUGGAAGGAACAUCGUGGUGGUACGCCUGGGGUCUCCACGGGGAAGAGGACAAGGGGGACUUCCAGGAGCUUCAGCGGCAGCCAACGCUGCGAGCCUCAUCUGCGUGCGCCCCUCGUGGCGCUCGCGGGAACUGCGGGCCGACGUCCCCUGUUUCUCUCGUUGAUUUCGCCAGCUCUGAUGAGGCCGGAGCGGGCCUCUUCAGAGGAAUGUAGACUGUUUGCACCCGAAAACCAAAACCGUGUCCAAGGGGCGGGGCCGGCCUGCUGGCAUCUAGAAUGGGGCCUGGCAGAGUGGGCCCGGGAGGUGGCUCCAGGCCCAGGGCCAGCCACGCUGCUUUCCCACGUGCACAGGCGUUGGCUUCCUCUGAACCAGACUCUGGGGGGAGGGAAGAAGCCUCCGCCCUCCUCUCCUGGUGAGGCUGGCCCCUUCCAGGGACCUCCCUAGGUGCUGGCUUCCAGCCCAGCCAAACUUGUCAACCAGUAUCCCGGUGCAGGAGCUGCACAUACUAGCCCCUGUCUAGGAAAAGCUGUCCUGCGACGCCCUCUGGAGGAAGCAGGGCUUCCUUUCCUCUGCCAUCACGCUUCCACGUGAUUGUAAGUUUCCUGAGGCCUCCCAAGAAGCCGAGCAGAUGCCAGCAUCGUGCUUCCUGUACUGCCUACAGAACUGUGAGCCAAUUAUCCCUCUUUUCAUUAUAAAUUACCCAGUCUCAGGUAUUUCUUUACAGCAGUGCGAGAAAAAACUAAUACAGUGCUCUAGAACAAAUACGAAUUAGAAAGUGUCAUAAACUUUUUAAAAGUCUA
This 1019-nucleotide long non-coding RNA is filed under the name Homo sapiens (human). RNAcentral describes it as "non-protein coding lnc-KLF4-9:1". The record is from RNAcentral. Lineage: Eukaryota; Metazoa; Chordata; Mammalia; Primates; Hominidae.